UAACACAUGCGUGAGCGCACUAAACACCUAAAAUUGUAAUACACACCAGUCAGCAAAGUUUUAACAAAACAAAACUUUCAACAACGGAUCUCUUGGUUCUCGCAUCGAUGAAGAGCGCAGCGAAUUGCGAUACCUAAUGUGAAUUGCAGCCAUCGUGAAUCAUCGAGUUCUUGAACGCACAUUGCGCCCCCCGGUAUUCCGAGGGGCAUGCCUGUCUGAGCGUCGUUUCCUUCUUGCGCAAGCAGAGUUGAGGACUUUGCGGAGUCUUUGAAACGGAACGUCGUGGACGAAGUGAACUAAACAUUAGAGCGCUUUGGCCGCCGAACUAUUUUCGGGAGUUUGGUUUUUUUUUCCUUUUGGGGAGAAAGAGACCCGGCUCUGGAAAACUAAGCUCGACCUCAAAUCAGGUAGGAAUACCCGCUGAACUUAACCAUA
Molecule: ribosomal RNA, 435 nt
Filed under: Pichia sp. MYf84
Lineage: Eukaryota; Fungi; Ascomycota; Pichiomycetes; Pichiales; Pichiaceae
Description: eukaryotic LSU rRNA
Rfam family: 5.8S ribosomal RNA (bases 73-225)
Source: RNAcentral